AUUGUAUAGGAAAAAAAUCUGAGUUCUGACUUUAGCAGAUGAUCCCAGGAAGAAUUGUUCAGAGCACCAUAGAGCCUUCACUGCUUUUUCUGAACCCCUAGUUAAAUAAAUGGUUUUGCCUCUGUUUCUCCAAUGGGUCACUGUGGUCUUUUAGGUUGAACUUUGCAUAUGACAUCCAGAAAAGGGAGAAGGGAAAGAGCUGUUUUCCCUGCAUAUUAACAUGUUUUGGGGUCAUUCAUCCUAUAUAUGAGUGGUCCCCUCAUUGGGGUUUGAAGUAGAUCCAUUUUCAUAUGUCACUCUCUCCUUCAUGCCUUCUUCAGUUCAGUGUGAAGAUUUUCCCUUAGAUGUGUCACUGAAUGAUGCCAUUGGAAGCAUAGCUUCUGUUGAUAAGCGUGGGACCAUCUGCUUGGCACAUCUCAAAUAUUUUCAGUCGUGGGAGAGCAGCCCUUAAUUUCAGUAGAGGAAAGAGGCUCCAGCCACACUUCAAGGAGAGGCUGAGGUUGGAGAUCCUACGACCAAGGGGUGGGGGAGCAGAAGAGAUCUGUAUCCUCUGGAUGGAUGCCCCAGAAUGCUGAAGAGGAUCCUUCCCAUGGGCAUCUCUGUACCCUCCCAUGAGGAUAAUAGUAAGUCUCUGUUCCUAUUUUAAUUACUCAGUUUUGUUUUGUUUUGUUUUUUCAACCAGAGAAAGAAGAAAAACUAUCACUCAGAGAACUGCUUCUGUGCCGGUCACUCUCUGUCAUGUAUUAGAUGUCUGCUUGUUGGAGCCACCAAAGACUGUAUGAAAGAGGCAGAGGAGGUUGCCAGGAAGGAGCUAUGGAAGUCAGCAAAUAAACCAACAGCUUUCCCUCCA
This 850-nucleotide long non-coding RNA is filed under the name Monodelphis domestica (gray short-tailed opossum). RNAcentral describes it as "lncRNA (ENSMODG00000047390.1)". The record is from RNAcentral. Lineage: Eukaryota; Metazoa; Chordata; Mammalia; Didelphimorphia; Didelphidae.